CCUACGGGAGGCAGCAGUAAGGAAUAUUGGACAAUGCUCGCAAGAGUGAUCCAGCCAUGCCGCGUGCAGGAAGAAUGCCCUAUGGGUAGUAAACUGCUUUUGAACUAGAGAAAACCCCAGUACGUGUACUGGGCUGAUAGUAUAGUUAGAAUAAGCAUCGGCUAACUUCGUGCCAGCAGCCGCGGUAAGACGAAGGAUGCAAGCGUUAUCCGGAUUCAUUGGGUUUAAAGGGAGCGUGGGUGGACUGAUAAGUCAGUGGUGAAAUCUCCGAGCUUAACUCGGAAAUUGCCAUUGAUACUGUUGGUCUUGAGUACAGUUGCUGUGGGCGGAAUAUGACAUGUAGUGGUGAAAUACAUAGAGAUGUCAUAGACACCGAUUGCGAAGGCAGCUCACAAAGCUGUAACUGACACUGAGGCUCGAAAGUGCGGGGAUCAAACAGGAUUAGAUACCCUGGUAGUCCGCACCGUAAACGAUGAUUACUCGCUGCUAGGGGGCAACCUUUAGUGGCUUAGCGAAAGCGAUAAGUAAUCCACCUGGGGAGUACGCCGGCAACGGUGAAACGUUAAAGGAAUUAGACGG
RNAcentral lists this ribosomal RNA (579 nucleotides) under uncultured bacterium. RNAcentral's name for it is "bacterial SSU rRNA". It matches the Rfam family "Bacterial small subunit ribosomal RNA", at positions 338 to 917 of the family's 1533-position model. The record is from RNAcentral.